Molecule: long non-coding RNA, 358 nt
Organism: Canis lupus familiaris (dog)
Lineage: Eukaryota; Metazoa; Chordata; Mammalia; Carnivora; Canidae
Exons: 3
Source: RefSeq, a predicted model, not a curated record
GAACUCCUCAAUGAACCCCAUUCUUCAGCUGGGCCACCCUCUGUUCUCUUAGUGAGCAUUACAAUGCUAAGGGGGUGAAACAAUUUGUGAGAAGUCUGUUUUCCUGAUUGGAGACCAAAAUGGAAAAAGAACGAUAUCUUUUGUCCUUCACAAUAUGAGUGAUAACACUACUGGAAAGAACAUCAUCUAAUAGAUACAGGAUGCUCUGUCUGACAGCAGAGAACAUAGCACUGAAGCUCACACCUCACAAAUGUAAUUUGGAGUGUUAAUUGGAAAGGACCUAGCUGACCCAGUGAUUUCUACUCUCUAAGAACUGGUGACAAGAUAUUCCAUCUUUCCUUCUGAAGUCUGGUGGACA